This 84-nucleotide transfer RNA is filed under the name Minisyncoccota bacterium. RNAcentral's name for it is "tRNA-Leu". It matches the Rfam family "tRNA". From Rfam's summary of the family: Transfer RNA (tRNA) molecules are approximately 80 nucleotides in length. Their secondary structure includes four short double-helical elements and three loops (D, anti-codon, and T loops). Lineage: Bacteria; Bacillati; Minisyncoccota. The record is from RNAcentral.
GCCGAGAUGGCGGAAUAGGUAGACGCGUAGGUCUCAAAAACCUAUGGAGGCAACUUCAUGAGGGUUCGAUUCCCUCUCUCGGCA